This is a long non-coding RNA of Pectinophora gossypiella (pink bollworm), 1387 nucleotides long. RefSeq lists it as uncharacterized. The transcript is spliced from 3 exons. The record is from RefSeq and is a predicted model, not a curated record. Lineage: Eukaryota; Metazoa; Arthropoda; Insecta; Lepidoptera; Gelechiidae.
AACCUUUGCUCUCCAUAAACCAUUCCAAUCUAUUUUUAACCAGAUGUUCAGUAAUUUUAAUUAAGACCGAUGACAGAGCAAUAGGACGAUAAGAUGAAGCAAGGGUAGGAUCCUUAUUAGGUUUCAGAAUAGGAAACACUUCUUGAACUCUCCAUGCAGGGGGUAUAUUACCGGAUAGCAUAAAACUAUUAAUUAGGUUAAGUAAAUAACCUAAAGCAUCAUCACCUAGAUUAGCUACAAAUGAAUAUGGUAUUCCAUCAACGCCAGGAGCUGAAUCCUUCACAUUUGAUAAGACGCCUUUCAUUUCAUGGAGAGAAAAGGGGCUAUUUAGUCCAGUACGAUCAUCGACAGCUGGUGAAAUCAUUAUAAACUCUGAAACAUAAGGAGGAGCUAGGGUAUCAAUAAAUUUAUGGGUCAAAUUCUGAGGAAGAGCAGAAGGAGAGGAUUCCUUGAAAGCACCCCUGAAUCUUCUUAUAUUCGCCCAAACUUCAGAUGGGCUAACAUCUGGGCAAAUUGAUAGGCAAAAAGAUCUCCAUCCAUCAAUUUUUUUUUGUUUAAACAUUUUUUUACAAGCUUCGAUAUUUUCAGUUACUUUAUUAAAGUUUUCAUCUGUUGAACAUUCAAAAUAUAACUUUUCAGCUUCUUUACGUUUUCUAGCAGCCUCUGUACAUUCACUGUCCCACCAAGGUGGAGAAGGUAUUCCACAGCCUACUUUUUUCAUCGGAAAAAGUUCAUUAGCUAUCUCUAUAAACGCUCCGGCAAAUGUCUCUGCACAAAAGGUUUCAUUUCCAGGUGUUACAGGAGGGAAAUAACAAAUUUUACUUUCCAUUCGAGAUUUAAAAGUAUUCCAGUCGGCAUUCAAUAAUCUAUAUUUCAAACGAAUCCGUUUUCGAACAGUUUCGUGUUGAAAAGGCAGAGUGAUAAUAAGACUAUAAUGAUCACUUCCAAAAGUGUAUUUAAGGGCUUCAAAUUGAUAAGCUGCAAAUUGAUAAGUCUGGAGCACUCUUUCCCUGUGAAGGAGAGGUGCGACGGGUAGGUGAACCAGUAUUAAGGAUACAAAGGAAUUACGCUCCUGCAGUUCCACUGGAGAACUUUGGAAUUUAGGUCCAUUAUGGAGUGUUUUAGAGAUUUGUGCAAGAGAAUCCAUGAGAGCUGCGUUGGACGGUGGAAUUAAGUUUGACUGCGAAAGAAUCGACCUAAAGACACAGGAUGCAAAGAAACCCCAUCAUCAGGCGAUGUCAGCUUAUGCUGGAUGUGUAAUGUGUAAGGAGCUGCAUCAGAACUAAUAUAAGUCCUCCGAGCAAUUUGAGACUGUGGAGAGUGGUUGUCAGCGACAGUUGAAAUAUUUUGUGACGCAACAGUUUCAUUAAAUAAAGGCAAAGAGAUA